This 272-nucleotide ribosomal RNA is filed under the name uncultured prokaryote. RNAcentral describes it as "partial 16S ribosomal RNA". It matches the Rfam family "Bacterial small subunit ribosomal RNA", at positions 524 to 794 of the family's 1533-position model. The record is from RNAcentral.
UACGGAGGAUGCGAGCGUUAUCCGGAUUUAUUGGGUUUAAAGGGUGCGCAGGCGGGAGAUUAAGUCGGCGGUAAAAUUUUGCAGCUCAACUGUAAAAGUGCCUUCGAAACUGGUUUCCUUGAGUGUAGAUGAAGUAGGCGGAAUUUGUGGUGUAGCGGUGAAAUGCAUAGAUAUCACGAGGAACUCCGAUUGCGCAGGCAGCUUACUAAACUACUACUGACGCUCAGGCACGAAGGCGUGGGGAGUCAAACAGGAUUAGAUACCCUCGUAGU